AAAAUUAGAGUGUUCAAAGCAGGCAGAUCCAAUUUUCUGCCACCGAAUACAUUAGCAUGGGAUAAUGGAAUAGGACCCUGUCCUCCUAUUUUCAGUUGGUUUUGGCAGCGCGAGGACUAGGGUAAUGAUUAAUAGGGAUAGUUGGGGGCAUUAAUAUUUAAUUGUCAGAGGUGAAAUUCUUGGAUUUAUGAAAGAUUAACUUCUGCGAAAGCAUCUGCCAAGGAUGUUUUCAUUAAUCAAGAACGAAAGUUAGGGGAUCGAAGACGAUCAGAUACCGUCGUAGUCUUAACCAUAAACGAUGCCGACCAGCGAUUAGGAGACGUUGAAUACAAAACACCACCAUCGGCGCGGCCGUCCUUGGCCGUGCGUCUCGUUUCGGCGAGGCGUUUGGCGGGGGCGGCUUAGCCCGG
This 410-nucleotide ribosomal RNA is filed under the name Acanthamoeba sp. RNAcentral's name for it is "SSU rRNA". It matches the Rfam family "Eukaryotic small subunit ribosomal RNA", at positions 762 to 1112 of the family's 1831-position model. The record is from RNAcentral. Lineage: Eukaryota; Discosea; Longamoebia; Acanthamoebidae.